This 477-nucleotide ribosomal RNA is filed under the name uncultured bacterium. RNAcentral's name for it is "SSU rRNA". It matches the Rfam family "Bacterial small subunit ribosomal RNA", at positions 26 to 518 of the family's 1533-position model. The record is from RNAcentral.
AGGACGAACGCUUGCGACGUGCCUAAGAAAUGCAAGUCGAACGAGGUAGCAAUACCUAGUGGCGAACGGUCGCGUAACACGUGGGCAACCUGCCCUAGAGUGGGGGAUAACAAUCCGAAAGGAUUGCUAAUACCGCAUGUGAAUACUGAAGGCACCUUCGGCUAUUCAAAGGAUUUAUUCGCUCUAGGAUGGGCCCGCGGCCUAUCAGCUAGUUGGUGAGGUAACGGCCCACCAAGGCUUCGACGGGUAGCUGGUCUGAGAGGACGAUCAGCCGGAUUGGGACUGAGAUACGGCCCAGACUCCUACGGGAGGCAGCAGUGGGGAAUCUUGCGCAAUGGACGAAAGUCUGACGCAGCAACGCCGCGUGGGGGAUGAAGCUUCUCGGAGUGUAAACCCCUUUCGACCCGGACGAAUGCCCGCAAGGGUUUGACGGUACGGGUAUAAGAAGCCCCGGCUAACGUACGUGCCAGCAGCCGC